GGACAAGCAGCUGCAGUGAGACGGUGGACGUCUGACAACAACCAGCAGGCGCAUGUCAGGGAAGUCACAAAGGCAACAUUUCUGUGCUUAAAUCGAUGAAGUGAUUUACUUUUAGCAUUAUCAGUGCACAACCUUUUGUGUGUGUUUUUUUAAAACCCAACCACCUGAAAUUAUUGAUAUUGGACGUGUUUAGUCCAUGCUUACCGUGACGGCUCGUGUCUUGUGGAUUAUCCGUGGUGGCUGCCGAGACAGUCGCAUGGUUGUGGCCGGAGGAGGGCCCUCUGUGCCGGAUGGAUGUGCUUGAAGCAGCGGCGGAUUCCGACCACUUGUGAAGACUGUCGAAAUGAUGCCCAGGUCUCGUCGGCAGCGGGCGAACUCCUCUUGAAUGUUCGGGCUCUGUCGCCCCAACAUAAACCAUUUCCUCACACGGCAAACAUUUUAUUCCUUGAAAACUGGACGCCCCCGGAGCAGUUUAUGACGACCCUGGUAGGAGCGUGAUGAGCGCGCGCUUCCGCUUGCCUGCUGGCAGAUCCUACAAUGUCCGGGCGACGGAGCUGGAGCGAGACAGGCACCACACACAGGUUGUGUGCAACGUAUUGCUACUGGACAACACCGUCCAGGCUUUUAAAGUCAGCAAGUCAGAUCAUGGGCAGAUCUUGCAGGAUGCCGUCUUCAAGCACCUGGAGCUGACCGAAAGAGACUACUUUGGCCUGCACUUGGCAGAUGACUCCUCGGAUACCCCACGCUGGCUCGAUCCCAACAAGCCCAUCAGGAAGCAGUUAAAAAGAGGUUCCCCCCACAACUUGAGCUUCAGAGUCAAAUUUUUUGUGGCAGAUCCUAGUAAACUUCAGGAAGAAUACACACGGUACCAAUAUUUUCUUCAGAUUAAACAGGACAUAUUAACUGGAAGAUUGCCCUGUCCUCACAACACAGCCGCACUUUUGGCUUCCUAUGCUGUCCAAUCUGAAUUAGGGGACUACAAUGAGACGGAGCAUCCUCUAGGCUAUCUGUCUGACUAUUGCUUCAUCCCCAACCCCCCACAAGACUUCCAUAAAGAGGUUGCCAAACAUCACCAGCAGCACAGUGGUCUAUCUCCUGCCCAGUCGGAGUUUAAUUAUCUGAACACAGCACGCACGCUAGAGCUCUACGGGGUAGAGCUGCACUAUGCAAGAGACCAGAGCAACACAGAGAUACUUAUUGGGGUGAUGUCCGCUGGCAUUGUGAUUUAUAAGAACAGGGUACGGAUCAACUAUUUCCCAUGGUUGAAAAUAGUGAAAAUCUCCUUCAAGUGCAAACAGUUCUUCAUUCAGUUGAGAAGAGAGGCGACUGAGACCCGUGAGACACUGCUUGGUUUCAACAUGGUAAACUACCGGGCCUGCAAGAACCUGUGGAAGGCCUGCGUGGAACACCACACCUUCUUCAGACUGGAACGACCCAUCCCGCCACAGAAGAACUUCUUCUCCCAUUAUUUCAGCCUGGGUUCAAAGUUUAGAUACUGUGGGAGGACGGAGGUACAGUCUGUACAGUAUGGAAAGGAGAAAGGCAUCAAGGACAGAGUGUUUGCCAGAUCUCCCAGCAAGCCUCUGGCCAGGAAGCUGGUGGGCGGAACGGACUGGGAGACGGUGAGCAGGAACAGCCUAUCAGAUGAGAGACUGGAGACUCAGAGCCUACCCACCCGCUCACCGCCCGGAACACCCAACCAGAAUUCGCUGUUUACACAAGACGGCACGCGGCUACGCCCGUCGUCUGUCGGCCACCUGGUUGAUCAUGUGAUACACACAUCGCCCAGCCUGCCUGUCUUCUCCUCCAAUCACAAGUCGGCCUCCUCCACGCAAGCCAACAGUAUCAGCUUGGACUCCACACCGUCUCCCGAAGGCAUGGACGGCCAGCCUCCAGCUCUGCCCCCCAAGCAGCUGAGCAGGAAGACCUUGAGCCAGAUCAUCCAGGCCCACUCGCAGCAGAGUCUCUUGGACAACCACCUCAAUGAGAUGUACGAUGUUCCUGCCAACACUGACAAGACCACGCUAAACGGGGUUGUCCCUCAUGAUAAUCUGGUCUUGAUCAAAAUGAGACCUGAUGAACAUGGACGCUUUGGCUUCAACGUAAAGGGUGGAGCUGACCAGAAGAUGCCAAUCAUUGUGUCCAGAGUUGCUCCUGGAACAUCAGCUGAUCUGUGUGUACCCCGCCUGAAUGAGGGCGACCAGGUCGUCCUAAUCAAUGGGCGCGAUAUCUCUGACCACACCCAUGACCAGGUUGUAAUGUUCAUCAAGGCCAGCUGUGAGAGCCACUCUGGAGAACUUAUUCUGCUGGUCCGACCAAACGCCAUCUAUGAUGUGGUGGAGGAGAAGGUGGACUCUGAACCAGAUUUCCAGUACAUCCCAGAAAAGUCCCCUCAGGACCCCACUCAACUAGACCAGCAUGCUUUGAGGGACUCUAUGGUUGUCCUAAAGGAAGGUCUGAGCAGUGGAGCCAUACUGGCCCAGUUUGAUCAACUGUACAGGAAGCGGCCAGGGAUGACCAUGCUGUGUGCCAAAUUACCUCAGAACAUUUCCAAAAAUCGCUACAGAGACAUCUCCCCUUAUGAUGCCACACGGGUCAUUCUGAAAAGCACAGAUGACUACAUCAAUGCAAAUUACAUCAACAUGGAGAUUCCUGCCUCCAGUCUCAUCAACCGCUACAUAGCUUGCCAGGGCCCUUUGCCCAACACCUGUCCUGACUUCUGGCAAAUGACCUGGGAGCAGGGAUCAUCGAUGGUGGUCAUGCUGACGACACAGGUCGAGAGGGGACGGGUGAAGUGCCACCAGUACUGGCCCGGCCCAGACAGCACUGCCUCCUACGGAGACUUCACUGUCACGUGCCACAACGAGGAGGGCAACUCUGCCUUCCUGGUCCGGGAAAUGAGCCUCAUGCACUUAGAGAGUGAGCAGCAGAGAGAGCUAACCCAGAUCCAGUACGUGGCGUGGCCCGACCACGGUGUUCCUGAUGACUCCACCGACUUCUUGGACUUUGUGGCUCUGGUGCGGAGCAAAAGGACCGGGCAAGACCAGCCAAUGGUUGUACACUGCAGUGCCGGCAUUGGUCGGACCGGGGUUCUGAUCACCAUGGAAACAGCGUUGUGUUUGAUGGAGUGUGGCCAGCCAGUAUGCCCCCUAGACAUUGUGAGGACCAUGAGAGAUCAGAGAGCCAUGAUGAUCCAGACACCCAGUCAGUACCGCUUUGUGUGUGAGGCCAUCCUGAAGGUCUAUGAGGAGGGUCUGGUCAGACCGCUGACGCCCGCCGCCGUUUACCAUCUCCGAGAGAAGGCGGAGUGCGAUAGAGAGGAGGAGAACAAAGAAAUGGGAGACGACACGACGGAGGACGGGGAGGUGGCUGUGGUGGAACUGUUGGAAGGAGGUCUGGAUGAGGAGGAAGACGACGAUGACGAGGAGGUGGAGGUGCUCGACGUGGGGGAAGUGACUGAGGAGGAAGUGGAGGAGCCAAGCGUGGCGAGUGCCACCAGCGCUACGAGCGUGAACAGCGACACCAGCGUGAAUCCCGAUCCCGAUCCUGAUCCUGACCCAUGACAUUUUAGGGGAGCCAGUAAGAGGUCAAUGUGGCAGGAGGAGAGCGGAGGAGGAGGAGAGAACAAACGCACUGUUGCACUUUAUAACACAAACGGAACAAACAAAAAUGGACAAACGGGAAGGCUGGCUUUUCAAAGAGGCAAUCCAGCUGUGCUGCCUGACAGACGUCAUCAGUGUGCAGUGAAGAACAAAGCAGGUUUACGGUCGUUGAGGUGCGUGCUCACCGGGCUCCCCUUUUCGCAUCAAAUCAAAGUAAACAAUGCCCACCGACUACUGAACACGAGUCAACUAGGGAGGUGUUGUCUUCACGAGUGUCUUCAGGCGUUCAUGCAUCCUCCUGUAGUGCUGAAGUGCCCUUGAGCUAGCCCAAUCGCUUCCACCCAGAAGAAUAACCUUUGGCACGGCCAUCUAGAUAUGACUUUUAUCGGUAGGGAAAAAUGUGUCAUACUGCAAAUUCUUCAGCUCUUCAUUUUUAAAGCAUCCUUGUAGGCUUCACAUAUUUUUGAUGCCUUGGAACCAGCAGCCCAAACCACAUGCGACUCCUUAAUUGUCUUUAUAUGAGCUGGGAGAGUGGCACUCCAAUGAUGUCAUGGUACUUGCUUUACAGCUAGUGGGGGUGUCCUCCUCAUAAGUUACCAAUAUGGCAGAUACCCAUAUCAAUCCGAUAUGAUAAUCAUACACGCUCUUAUUUUGUUGUGUGGAAUGAUCUCUUUUUUUAUGAAUGGAAUGUUUUUGUAGUUAUGGCAUAGAAAAUCGCUUUACUAUCUUUAAAUACGUCUGGUAACAUUAUUAGAAACAUCUGGACAUGAAAUAACACCCAUAUCGUCACCUUUACACUCGCAUAAUCAGACAAAAUAAGUCGAUGGCGGACAGGAAGUGACGUUGGGGGUUCAGAGUUGAGUUUUAGCCUCUGCUGGGCUAUGGCCACAAUAAUAACCCAUGUUGGUAUUAUUAUUAUUAUUGUGCCAGUUGUGAGAUCAUUUAAACCUGCAAUACAAAUACAACCGUUGGUCAAGUCUGUUUCUUCAGUGGUUGUGUCACCGAACAAUUACACAGAAUACUACAUGCACAAGUUGGUGGUCUUAACAGCUUAUACUGUAGUUGUAUUUUAGUUCAUUUAGCUGUUUUUAUGUUUGAAAAUGAUUCAUAUUGGCAAAAAAUACUUACCGUUUGUUUAAAUGUUUUUUUUUCUAAUAAUUUAGGUCGUAGUUGCUAAUUAUUGUUUGGAACAACGCAAGAGUUAGGGAGCGUUGUUCGAACUGUCAUUUAGUGAGGGAUGACCGUAGUCGGCAGCACUAGCCAUGAGGAAACGCUCACAUUUCCCACACUUAGUGGAUGUCUCAGACAUAUCGAACUGAUGUCCCAUACCAAUAAUAAUGCAUUGUCUUUUCAUAUUAGUUAACAACAAAAACAUGCUACUGUUGUCCUGUUCAUAGCUGUAUGAUAUGUCAUGUUCCAUUAUUUCAUAUUCGUCACUUUGAUGACUAGAUAUGAACUGUUCACUGAAACUUAAGGCUUUUGUGUGAAAUUUCAGGAUGAAUCUCGACUUGAGUGCACCUUUUUACCUAAAUUUAGCACUUUCCAGCAUAAAAAUUGCAAAAAAUAAACUAAAAUAAUGGUAAAACAUUCAAAAAUGCUGUGUCAUAUGGAUAUGUACUGUAGUACUCAGCACUGGCCACUAGGUGUAAUGUUAAGUAAUGUUACUGUGAGACACAACAACCAACAGUCUACUGCAGGUUUGAAUCAUCUACAGGCACAAUAAUCCCGAACAUGGACUGCUGUUGUGGCCAUAACCCAAGCUAAAACUUCGGACCCCCGACGUUGCUUCCUGUCCCUGCACCCCCAGCACCAGAACACAUUUACAUCACUCAAGAGUAUGAGUCUUAUUUAUGUCUUAAAUGUUUCAUUUACUCUUAUUAAGUCUGCUAUAUUGGGUAAUACAAGUGUAAAUGUGACUAUAGGGGUGUUAUUUUGUGGCCAGAGGGCUCUAAUAUUGUUAAACAUACUUACAUACUCACAGCUAGGAGACCAGGGUUCAAUUCCACCCUCGGCCAUCUCUGUGUGGAGUUCGCAUGUUCUCCCUGUGCAUGCGUGGGUUUUCUCCGGGUACUCCGGUUUCCUCCCCCAUUCCAAAAACAUGCUAGGUUAAUUGGCCACUCCAAAUUGUCCAUAGGUAUGAAUGUGAGUGGGAAUGGUUGUUUGUCUAUAUGUGCCCUGUGAUUGGCUGGCGACCACUCCAGGGUGUACCCCGCCUCUUGCCCGAAGACAGCUGGGAUAGGCUCCAGCACCCCCCGCAACCCUCAUGAGGAUAAGCGGUAGAAAAUGAAUGAAUAUUUAGAAAGGCGUAAACAGGUUUUCUAUGCUAUUAAACUGCUAAAUGAUUUUAUUUAUAAGUGAUGCUACUUUGCGGACAUCCAUUUAUCACGGUUCAAGUUUGGAACCAAUUAGCCGUAAUACAGUACACUGCAUACGGACUAAACCGAUUGUGUUGCAUUUUAGGUUGAUCAUGAAAUUUCACACAGCUCUCUCUUAAGGUGUUGUGAGUAGUGUUUGUUUUUAAUCUUCCGUUUCCCCUAACCUCUCCUUCUUGUCCCAUUUGAUAUAUUUCGAGCUGUCUGUUUUACGCCUGCUUGUCCGUCAACUGGAAUGAUCAUUAGUGCCAUAAACCACCUCUGACCUAGUCCCGUUCCAUGUCUUAUGAACUUUUCCCUCGCAGACAUUUUUUUGGUCUCUCCUGGAAAAACUGGCUCCAAUGUACUUGUUUCAAACUGUGAUCGUCCCGCUUUUUUUAAAAAAUGUGUUCUAUUAAGAAGAUCCUGGUACUUUAUUGUUUACACUUCCUGUCAGUGACAUCAGCACAGGCACAUCUUAUCCAUCAUUCUCCUUGUCUUCCUCAAAUCAAACCACGCAUUGGGACGGUGGUACCGUACAUUUGUAUUGACAGUACACCCUUUUUCUUUGCAGCAGUUCAUCGGAUUUAAUUGUCUUAUUUCAGAUGAACAGGAGAUCAGCAGGAAAAAAAAUCAAACUGAAAACAUGUCCCCUGCAAUGAGCUGUAUACAGUAGAUGUUUUGUUCUUGACACAUUUAAGGUACUGAUCUAGAGGGGUUCCACAAUGGCCAAGGCUUGCUUUAUUUAGCUGUAUUUUUGCAAAGAUGACAACUUGUAGAAAAGGGCAGCACUUUGUAAAAUGCUGAGUGGCAGGUCGUGCUACUGAUUUUUUGUUUCAUCUAAUUUGGAUUUCUUUUUUUAAUAAGACACGUAAGGGUUAAAAGAUAACGUCUAACUACACAGUGCCACUUGUUCAUUUUGUGUACAUAAUGCUAGACCAUGUAAAUACAAUGUUGUAUAAUAAAAAAUCUUUAAAAUAAAAGGGAAAAUCCAUUGUGAGUAGAAGUAUUUUGUUGUUUUCCUCUGGAAGAUUCAAAUGUUACACGAAUGGUGUGUACUUUGAGACUGCUAUUUCAUUUUUGGUUGUUUUUUGUUUUUGUUUGAUAUGACACAGUAUACCGGCAAGUAUAUAUAUUAUGAAACACAAAACUAUUUUUUCCCCUUCUAUUUCUUUGGUAAAGCUCUUUCUGUGUCGUAAAAAACAACAAAAAACAUGUUUGUCCUCGGUUUUGCUUGUUUCUUGCUGGACUCGUGGUUUUACUGGUGCUUUGGACAUGUCUAUAA
RNA transcript from Doryrhamphus excisus (bluestripe pipefish), 7238 nucleotides. It is a transcript of the gene named protein tyrosine phosphatase non-receptor type 4a, with no coding region annotated. The record is from RefSeq and is a predicted model, not a curated record. Lineage: Eukaryota; Metazoa; Chordata; Actinopteri; Syngnathiformes; Syngnathidae.